UCAAAGUAUCUUCUGCCCACUGAUAAGAUUAAAUGGCCGCAGUACUCUGACUGUGCUAAGGUAGCGUGAUUCUUGUUUUCUUAAUUAGAAAUCUGUUCAAAGAAUGAUAUAUAGAAAAUCUAUUGUUUUUAUAUUUAAUGAAUUUAAAUUAUUAGUGAAAAUUCUAAUAUGUUAUUAAAAGACGAGAAGACCCCAUAAAACUUAAUUUGAUAUUAAUUUUUUAGUUUUAAAAUUUAAAUGGGGACUUUAGAGUAUAAUAAUAACUUUAGUGACCUAAAAUUUUAUUUUGUGAUAAGCUACUUUGGGGAUAACAGGGUAAAAUAUUUAGAGAGUUCAUAUCGAUAAAUAUAAUUACUACCUCGAUGUUGGAUUAUCUUUUCAA
This 382-nucleotide ribosomal RNA is filed under the name Brachionus sessilis. RNAcentral describes it as "partial 16S ribosomal RNA". It matches the Rfam family "Bacterial large subunit ribosomal RNA", at positions 1890 to 2548 of the family's 2925-position model. Lineage: Eukaryota; Metazoa; Rotifera; Eurotatoria; Ploima; Brachionidae. The record is from RNAcentral.